UACGUAGGUGGCGAGCGUUGUCCGGAUUUACUGGGCGUAAAGGGAGCGUAGGCGGACUUUUAAGUGAGAUGUGAAAUACCCGGGCUUAACUUGGGUGCUGCAUUUCAAACUGGAAGUCUAGAGUGCAGAAGAGGAGAAUGGAAUUCCUAGUGUAGCGGUGAAAUGCGUAGAGAUUAGGAAGAACACCAGUGGCGAAGGCGAUUCUCUGGACUGUAACUGACGCUGAGGCUCGAAAGCGUGGGGAGCAAACAGGAUUAGAUACCCCGGUAGUCCCU
Molecule: ribosomal RNA, 275 nt
Filed under: uncultured prokaryote
Description: partial 16S ribosomal RNA
Rfam family: Bacterial small subunit ribosomal RNA
Source: RNAcentral